GGCCAGGUGGUGGAAUAGAAGACACGCCGGUCUCAGAAGCCGGUGCCCGAGAGGGCGUGCGGGUGCAACUCCCGCUCUGGUCA
Molecule: transfer RNA, 83 nt
Filed under: Sandaracinaceae bacterium
Lineage: Bacteria; Pseudomonadati; Myxococcota; Polyangiales; Sandaracinaceae
Description: tRNA-Leu
Rfam family: tRNA
About the family: Transfer RNA (tRNA) molecules are approximately 80 nucleotides in length. Their secondary structure includes four short double-helical elements and three loops (D, anti-codon, and T loops).
Source: RNAcentral